This 72-nucleotide transfer RNA is filed under the name Acidovorax temperans. Its description in RNAcentral is "tRNA-Arg". It matches the Rfam family "tRNA". Rfam says of the family: Transfer RNA (tRNA) molecules are approximately 80 nucleotides in length. Their secondary structure includes four short double-helical elements and three loops (D, anti-codon, and T loops). The record is from RNAcentral. Lineage: Bacteria; Pseudomonadati; Pseudomonadota; Betaproteobacteria; Burkholderiales; Comamonadaceae.
CUCCUCGUAGUUCAAUGGAUAGAACGAGUGCCUCCUAAGCGCUAGAUACAGGUUCGAUUCCUGUCGAGGAGA